GACGAACGCUGGCGGCGUGCCUAAUACAUGCAAGUUGAGCGAUGAAGAUUGGUGCUUGCACCAAUUUGAAGAGCAGCGAACGGGUGAGUAACGCGUGGGGAAUCUGCCUUUGAGCGGGGGACAACAUUUGGAAACGAAUGCUAAUACCGCAUAACAACUUUAAACAUAAGUUUUAAGUUUGAAAGAUGCAAUUGCAUCACUCAAAGAUGAUCCCGCGUUGUAUUAGCUAGUUGGUGAGGUAAAGGCUCACCAAGGCGAUGAUACAUAGCCGACCUGAGAGGGGGAUCGGCCACAUUGGGACUGAGACAAGGCCCAAACUCCUACGGGAGGCAGCAGUAGGGAAUCUUCGGCAAUGGACGAAAGUCUGACCGAGCAACGCCGCGUGAGUGAAGAAGGUUUUCGGAUCGUAAAACUCUGUUGGUAGAGAAGAACGUUGGUGAGAGUGGAAAGCUCAUCAAGUGACGGUAACUACCCAGAAAGGGACGGCUAACUACGUG
This 497-nucleotide ribosomal RNA is filed under the name uncultured bacterium. RNAcentral describes it as "partial 16S ribosomal RNA". It matches the Rfam family "Bacterial small subunit ribosomal RNA", at positions 28 to 507 of the family's 1533-position model. The record is from RNAcentral.